GCCAGUAGUGAUAUGCUUGUCUCAAAGAUUAAGCCAUGCAUGUCUGAGUACAGACCGAUCUAAGGUGAAACCGCGAAUGGCUCAUUAAAUCAGUCAUAAUUCCUUGGAUAGUGACAAACUUCCUCGGAUAACUGUGGAAAAUCCAGAGCUAAUACGUGCAACUGAGCUCCGACCUAGACGCGAGUCUUAUGGGAAGAGCGCAUUUAUUAGAUUCAAAACUGACCGGUGUACUCCUUCGGGAUGCGCCGUUUGUCGAAUGUUUGAUGACUCCGGAUAACUUAGCCGAGCGCUACGGUCUUAGUACCGGCGCCGUAUCUUUCAAGUGUCUGCCUUAUCAGCUUUCGAUUGUAGGUUAAACGCCUACAAUGGCUGUAACGGGUAACGGGGAAUCAGGGUUCGAUUCCGGAGAGGGAGCCUGAGAAACGGCUACCACAUCUAAGGAAGGCAGCAGGCACGCAAAUUACCCACUCCCAGCCCGGGGAGGUAGUGACGAAAAAUAACGAUGCGAGACUCUUCCGAGGCCUCGCAAUCGGAAUGAGUCCAUUUUAAAUCCUUGGACGAGGAUCCAUUGGAGGGCAAGUCUGGGUGCCAGCAGCCGCGGUAAAUUCCAGCUCCAAUAGCGUAUAUUAAAGUUGCUGCGGUUAAAAGCUCGUAGUUGGACUUCCUAGAUCCAUUUCGCGAGCGAGUCGCUCGUUGAGCUAGCGUUUCGCGUCAGUUACUCGAUGACGUCGAAGUUGUAUACGGCGUGCCUCUGCCGAUCGUUUUUACGACGAUUUCGCGCGACCGCGCGGUAUUGCGUACGAAUCGAACCCGCGAGGGUGAGAUCGCCGGCGCUUUAUCGUGUAUCGUUGCGAGUCGUUGGCGAAAGGUAGGUUCGGCUCGUCCGCGUCGCUUCGCGCGGAAUCUUGCGGACGGCGAGACGUUGUCUUCGAGUAUUGCUCGUUCGCGUUUGGUACAAUUAAAAUUUUGUCGGCUCGCUCGGAGUGCUCUUUACCGAGUGUUCCAGGGUGGCCGACACGUUCACUUUGAAAAAAUUAGAGUGCUUAAAGCGGGGCUUAUAUGUGGCCUGAAUGUCUGUGCAUGGAAUGAAGUAACAGGACCUCGAUUCUGUUUUUUUUGUCGGUUUUAUUGAACCGAGGUAAUGAUUAAAAGGGACAGACGGUGGCAUUAGUAUUGCGGCGCUAGAGGUGAAAUUCUUGGACCGCUGCAAGACUAACUACUGCGAAAGCGUUUGCCGAGAAUGUUUUCAUUAAUCAAGAACGAAAGUUAGAGGAUCGAAGGCGAUCAGAUACCGCCCUAGUUCUAACCCUAAACUAUGCUAACUAGCGAUCCGCCGGAGUCAUUCCCACGACCCGGCGGGAAGCCCCAGGGAAACCAAAGUCUUUGAGUUCCGGGGGAAGUAUGGUUGCAAAGCUGAAACUUAAAGGAAUUGACGGAAGGGCACCACCAGGAGUGGAGCCUGCGGCUUAAUUUGACUCAACACGGGAAACCUCACCAGGCCCGGACAUCAUAAGGAUUGACAGGUGAGGGCUCUUCUCGAUUUGAUGGGUGGUGGUGCAUGGCCGUCUUAGUGGUGGAGUGAUCUGUCUGGUUGAUUCCGAUAACGAACGAGACUCUACCCUACUAACUAGUCGGCGGAUCGUAACCCUGCAGAUGGUUAGUUCGUAUAGGGCGGUUGUUCGUAGACGCUCGUCGUGGCGUUGGCGUCUUGUGCUGGUCGUGGAGAGUGUCUCGAGGGGUGCUUGGGAGUAUUUCAUUUGUUUGGAACUUUCUUGUAUUUUUAGAGUAUUCUUCGCGUGUCCGCGCUUGUUGCGUUUAGCGUUCGAUUUUGCGUCGAUGUCUCCGUCUGAUUACCGCUACUGCUGGGGGCGUCCGUCGCAAUGUAUCUUCUUAGAGGGAUCAGCGGCGUAUAGCCGCACGAGAAAGAGCAAUAACAGGUCUGUGAUGCCCUUAGAUGUUCUGGGCCGCACGCGCGCUACAAUGUAGAGACCAGCGUGCUUUCCCCCUCCGAAAGGAGCGGGUAACCCGUUGAAACCCCUACCCGAUUGGGAUUGGGGAUUGCAAAUAUUUCCCAUAAACGAGGAAUUCCCAGUAAGCGCGAAUCAUUAAUUCGCGCUGAUUACGUCCCUGCCCUUUGUACACACCGCCCGUCGCUACUACCGAUUGAAUGAUUCAGUGAGGGCAUCGGACUGGCGCCUUCGGUUUAGUAAAAUAGACCUUAGGCUGACGGAAAGAUGUCCGAACUUGAUCAUUUAGAGGAAGUAAAAG
This 2268-nucleotide ribosomal RNA is filed under the name Munnopsinae sp. D10. Its description in RNAcentral is "bacterial SSU rRNA". It matches the Rfam family "Eukaryotic small subunit ribosomal RNA". Lineage: Eukaryota; Metazoa; Arthropoda; Malacostraca; Isopoda; Munnopsidae. The record is from RNAcentral.